RNAcentral lists this ribosomal RNA (427 nucleotides) under uncultured bacterium. RNAcentral describes it as "bacterial SSU rRNA". It matches the Rfam family "Bacterial small subunit ribosomal RNA", at positions 355 to 774 of the family's 1533-position model. The record is from RNAcentral.
UGGGGAAUUUUGGACAAUGGACGCAAGUCUGAUCCAGCCAUGCCGCGUGCGGGAAGAAGGCCUUCGGGUUGUAAACCGCUUUUGUCAGGGAAGAAACGAGUUUCUCUAAUACAGAGACUUAAUGACGGUACCUGAAGAAUAAGCACCGGCUAACUACGUGCCAGCAGCCGCGGUAAUACGUAGGGUACAAGCGUUAAUCGGAAUUACUGGGCGUAAAGCGUGCGCAGGCGGUUAUAUAAGACAGAUGUGAAAUCCCCGGGCUCAACCUGGGACCUGCAUUUGUGACUGUAUAGCUAGAGUACGGUAGAGGGGGAUGGAAUUCCGCGUGUAGCAGUGAAAUGCGUAGAUAUGCGGAGGAACACCGAUGGCGAAGGCAAUCCCCUGGGCCUGUACUGACGCUCAUGCACGAAAGCGUGGGGAGCAAACA